Rhagoletis zephyria (snowberry fruit fly) is the source of this 1915-nucleotide long non-coding RNA. RefSeq lists it as uncharacterized. Lineage: Eukaryota; Metazoa; Arthropoda; Insecta; Diptera; Tephritidae. The record is from RefSeq and is a predicted model, not a curated record.
UCUUAUAAAAUCCAUUUGCCGUUCGGAGGCGGCAUAAAACUGCAGGUCCGUCCAUUUGUGCUAUAACAUCAAGGCGCACACAACAAAUUGAAGGAGAAGCUGGCCAAAUACUUGGCAAAAAGUAAGCGCCAAAAAUAUUAUUUAUUAUUACUUAAAUAAAAAGAGUCAUUAAUUCGUCUCAUUGCAUUUUAAGUGGCCAAAUUGUUUGUCAUUUCCUAGUCGAAAUCCAGCCUAGUGAAUAUAAUGACCACUUUUUAUUAAUCUAAUGGCAAGAGGAAUAUUUAAUGCCCAAACAUUUGCAUUAAAUUUUUUGUCAUUUAAUACCGAGUGGAAAUCUGGUAUUAGACUACUAGCAACUUAUUAAAUAUAUGUAAUAUCCUAUCUAUUUACUCAAAAUGUCCUGGAUUUAUAGGCAUUCUUUUUUUCUAAAAAUUCUAAUUACGCUUUACUUUAAAAAAUGUGCGCAAAAAUUCCAAUCAAAUCAAAAUUCUUGUAUGCUACAAUAUUCAUAACUUCUUUUAUCAACAUUUUUGUAGAAAUUGUUUAAAUUGAAGCUAUUUUCAUUUUUUUUUUUGAAUUGAGAAUUUCUAGUUAUUGAUGAGAUGAAAAAAAAAUAAAUAAAAAAGUAAACAAUUAUCAGUUUGCGAGAAGAGUCACUCAGAUAUAAAUUUGUGCUUCACUCUAUUCCUACCUUCGAUACUUUCCACUUUCAAAGAAAUCAAUAGCGAUUGAACAGUCUGUGAUGCGGUGUAAACUCGCCCUAAGCAAAGUCAUUUCACUAGCACGACACAUCAUUCAUAAAAAUAGCAUCACUAGAUUUUUGCAUUUGAAAAUAAAAUACCAUCUUUCGCUCAUAUUUAGCAUAAGAGGUAAAAGUAUAAAAAAAAUUUAAAAUCCGAUUUGCCGCUUGCCUAUUUAGUGUCUAGAAAACACAUAUCCUUUUUUGGUGCUGGUCUCUUUCUCUAUUUACCUAACGUUACACGCUUCCACAACAAAACACUGUAAAUUGUCCAAUUAGCCAAGUCGCCCGGUGCCGAAUGCGCCACCCAAGCUGCCAGAACGACCUUCAUACUAUGGCAACACUACAAAUGGACGUCCAUUUUGAGGAGGCAUACAAAAUGGCGGCUGUGCCAUGUAGAGGAACUCGUGUCGUACGAGUGGAUUCCACCGCUUUUGUUGGUGUUCGUAUACAACAAUAUUAGACUUAAAAUAUUAACAAUAGAAAAAACUAAAAAAAAAAAAAUAAUAUUAAAUCGAUAACAAUGACAAACACACGCCUGAUUAAACUUAGUGUUUAGUUAAAGAAGGGAAACGAAAAAUUUAAAUGUAACACAAAAAAAGCGACCAUUUUUCUUCGAGUAUUUUUUUUUUUGUUGCCCGAAUUUUGUGAAUGGACCAGAGCGAUGGCAUAAUUUUGUUGUGAAGUUGAAUUGUAAUGUAAAAUGGGCAGUUUUUCUUAAAAAAAAAAAGACCACAGGUUUCGUUCAAUUUCAGAUAGUCAAGUCCCAGAUUCCAAAUUUGUUAUGAAUUGUUCUCGAGAAGUGCCUAAAUUAGUGAGAUUUCGCCGUAAAAAUUGCUUUAAAAAAAUUAAAUCUCCACUUAAGUGACUAUCCCAAAUUUUAACCUUACCUUAUUUAUAACUGCUGGCUCGACUCAAAUAUGCAUAAAUGAAAUUUUGGAUAAAAUGUCAAUUAGCUUUCGAACAUGGCGUAAAAAUUUAUUAAAAUAAAAUUUCUUACAAAUAUGUAAAUAAUAACAAAGUUACCUACGUAAAAUUAAAAAUAAAUAGGUAUUAAAAUGUGUUCGAAAGUUAUGUAGAUGAAUAGAUAUGUAGCUAAGUUUUGGCAGCUCUCCUCUUACCCGUUUCCCCAGCGAAAUUUGUAGUUUCCCAAUUCUUUGUAAAUAUUUAAAAAAA